Long non-coding RNA from Bos taurus (domestic cattle), 1933 nucleotides. The record is from Ensembl. NCBI's taxonomy places the organism in Eukaryota, Metazoa, Chordata, Mammalia, Artiodactyla, Bovidae.
CAGCAAGCCUCCUCUUGGUGGAGGAUUGGAGCUGCUCUAAUUUUCCGUAAUUACCAACAAGAGUGUGCACUCAGCAGAAACCAGUGGGCCUUUGCAAGCUGCCCAGGGGCGGACAAAUGAGUCUCCCAGGUCUCAUCCUCCAACGCCUUCUCCCAGGAUGAGCGAGCACGCUUCAGCGAACACCUCUCUCCCCAAGCCCAAGAGGGAGGUGCAGACAGGAGUCUUGUGAGACAGGGCCCCCCUCCUGGAUCACGCCCCCGGAUCACAGCACCGACACGGGGCCUACAGCAUUCCGGACACGAUCAAGGCCACGCACCCCGCUUGUCCGGCCUUUUCAUCUCUCUUGGUCUGGCAGAGGAUCGGUGACAGCUGUGAAGAGUCUGGGCCGGUUUUCUUGAAGAGGAUCUCACAAUCAAAUUGGCUGGACAGUUUCUUCACGGUCAGACCCAGGCUGAACUUUGGGGCCAGAGUACGGCCUCAGUGGCACUGGGUCCUCUGGGCUCUUCAUGGCCAGGUGCCCGAGGCCUGAGGCUCUCGCUGGUGAUGGUGCUGAGACUGAUCACCAGCUUCAGAUGAGGCUCACCAGUAUUCUGUUUCCAGAUGGAAAAGAGCCUCUCCCCUUAAGCUUAUUGUGACUGGAAACAAUUUUGUGAAUUACCACCUUUGUAAACAGAGUUGAAGCAUUGAUCUCUUCUCUCUACCUGAUCCCUUCAGCAUUAGGAAACUCGCAAGUGUCCAGCAGCCUUUCCGGGUGAACAGGAAGGCCACUUCCUGGCAGGCACAGCAACCUCAAAACUCUCUGGACCUCGAGAAGACAGGAGUCCACACAAACCUGUAGGUGCUGCUGGCAGAGUCUGGUGGCAAAGCUUUCCUGGCCACGGGAGGCCUUUGAGAAGUCCAAUUUGAGAUUCUUUAUGAGUUAGUUUCAACACAGCCAAAUUUGAAAGUGCCCAUAACCUCAAAGAGGGCUUCCCUGGUGGAUUCUUUACCACUGAGCCACCAGGGGAGCCCCCGUGGAAUAUUACUCAGCCAUAAAAAUGAACUUCUGCCAUUUUUCAGCAAUGUGGAGUAACUUAGAGAAUCUUAUGGUUAAUGAAAUAAGUCAGACAAAGAAAGACAAAUAGUCUAUGGCAUCAUCUUUAUGUGGGACCUAAAAAUACAGCAAAUGAGUGUACAUCACAAAACAGAAACAGACUCACAGAUAUAAGGAACAAAUUAGUGGUUAUCAGUGGGAAGAGGCGAGAUAGAAGCAUGGGGUUCAGAGGCACAGACUGCUGAGAAUGCAGUGAAUCACCAGGGUCUCCCCGGUAGUCCAGUAGUCGAGGCUCCGUGCGGCUCACGCAGGGCACCCAGGCUGGGCCCUGGUCAGGGAGCUGAGAAUCCACUAACAGUACAGUGUGGCAAAGAAAAAAGUGGAAAGCAGAUAACCAACAGGGAUAUACUGUCCAGCGCAGGGAAAUACAAGCACUAUUUUUGAUCACUGUGAGUGGAGUAUAAUCUAUAGAAAUGAUGAAUCACUAUGCUGCCUACCUGAAACUAAUAUAAUAUUGCAAAUCAACUAACCCUCAGUAAAAAAGAGAGCCUGUGUGUUCAAUUAACUGUAGGUAAAUAAUCAGGCCACGUUUCUUGAAACCAGACUUAUUUUUUGCAAACAGUCUUAAUCUGCCUACACUUGAUGGAAAUAAGGAUGAUUUUAGAGACAAGACAUGUUUCAACAGAAUACCUUUGUGGAUGCUAAGUUCUGGUGCUAUUGUCUUUGAGGCUUGCUAUUUUCUGCUUAAAACUCAUUUCCUAAAUGACUCCUUGCUACUGUGUCACAGAAUUGUAAAGUUUAAGUAAAUUAUUAAAAGGAUGUUCUAAGCUGCUUUCUGAGGCUGAUUAACUUUGGAUGAAGGUCAGACACCCUAUGCCCCACACCCAGGAGAUUGUGUAG